RNAcentral lists this ribosomal RNA (776 nucleotides) under uncultured Neocallimastigales. RNAcentral's name for it is "partial large subunit ribosomal RNA". It matches the Rfam family "Eukaryotic large subunit ribosomal RNA", at positions 23 to 634 of the family's 3401-position model. Lineage: Eukaryota; Fungi; Neocallimastigomycota; Neocallimastigomycetes; Neocallimastigales. The record is from RNAcentral.
AAGAGAGAGACAUGCGCGCAUAUCAAUAAGCGGAGGAAAAGAAACUAACAAGGAUUCCCUUAGUAACGGCGAGUGAAGCGGGAAGAGCUCAAAUUUGAAAUCUUCAAGGUUCUACCUUGACGAAUUGUAGUUUAAAGAAGUGUUUUCUGUUGAAGUUUUGGUAAAAGUUCUUUGGAAUAGGACAUCAUAGAGGGUGAGAAUCCCGUAUUUGACCAUUAUUUUCAGCUUUGUGAUACACUUUCAAAGAGUCGGAUUGUUUGGGAAUGCAGUCCAAAAUGGGUGGUAAAUUUCAUCUAAAGCUAAAUAUUGGCGAGAGACCGAUAGCGAACAAGUACCGUGAGGGAAAGAUGAAAAGAACUUUGAAAAGAGAGUUAAACAGUACGUGAAAUUGUCAAAAGGGAAGCGUUUGACACCAGUGUUGUUUUCUCGAAAAUCAAUUAAAAAUGGCUCGAUUUUGUAUUGUUGAGACCUUAAAAGCUCACUGUACAUUUUUCGUGUCCUUUUUAAUGCACUUUUCGUUUAACAAGUCAACAUCAGUUUCUUUUGUUGUAAAAGGGUCAUUGGAAGGUGGCUUUCUUUUCGGAGAAAGUGUUUAUAGCCUUUGGCCUCUGCAAUCCGAAGAGACUGAGGUCUGCAGCGUAGACUCUUCGGGGUUAGAUACAUUUGUGCUAAGUUAUAGCUUUUUAUAGACAACUUGUUGACUAUAAUUAGUCUUGUAGCUUACUCGCUUAUGCUAUUUUACCUACGCUUAGGAUGUUGAAGAUGUAGCACAUCAU